Molecule: non-coding RNA, 109 nt
Filed under: Microbispora rosea
Lineage: Bacteria; Bacillati; Actinomycetota; Actinomycetes; Streptosporangiales; Streptosporangiaceae
Description: SAM-IV sequence
Rfam family: SAM (S-adenosyl methionine) riboswitch aptamer
About the family: SAM-IV is a mRNA element that regulates gene expression via direct sensing of S-adenosylmethionine (SAM or AdoMet). SAM-IV riboswitches share conserved nucleotide positions with the previously described SAM-I riboswitches sequence analysis and molecular recognition experiments suggest that SAM-I and SAM-IV riboswitches share similar ligand binding sites, but have different scaffolds.
Source: RNAcentral
GGUCAUGAGUUCCAGUGACAAGCCCCGGCUCGCUGAACGGCAUCCCGCUCGCCGCGGGUGCCCCGGGUGACGACCUGCUCCACGCGGGGUGCGUGGAGAACGGCGGAUC